GGCGGCAUGGCCAAGUGGUAAGGCGGGGGACUGCAAAUCCUUUCCGGGUGUCGCCUGAUCAACAAA
This 66-nucleotide transfer RNA is filed under the name Allium macranthum. RNAcentral's name for it is "tRNA-Cys". The stretch from base 1 to 56 matches the Rfam family "tRNA". From Rfam's summary of the family: Transfer RNA (tRNA) molecules are approximately 80 nucleotides in length. Their secondary structure includes four short double-helical elements and three loops (D, anti-codon, and T loops). The record is from RNAcentral. Lineage: Eukaryota; Viridiplantae; Streptophyta; Magnoliopsida; Asparagales; Amaryllidaceae.